CUACGGGCGGCACCAGUGGGGAAUAUUGCACAAUGGGCGCAAGCCUGAUGCAGCCAUGCCGCGUGUAUGAAGAAGGCCUUCGGGUUGUAAAGUACUUUCAGCGGGGAGGAAGGGAGUAAAGUUAAUACCUUUGCUCAUUGACGUUACCCGCAGAAGAAGCACCGGCUAACUCCGUGCCAGCAGCCGCGGUAAUACGGAGGGUGCAAGCGUUAAUCGGAAUUACUGGGCGUAAAGCGCACGCAGGCGGUUGGUUAAGUCAGAUGUGAAAUCCCCGGGCUCAACCUGGGAACUGCAUCUGAUACUGGCAAGCUUGAGUCUCGUAGAGGGGGGUAGAAUUCCAGGUGUAGCGGUGAAAUGCGUAGAGAUCUGGAGGAAUACCGGUGGCGAAGGCGGCCCCCUGGACGAGGACUGACGCUCAGGUGCGAAAGCGUGGGGAGCAAACAGGAUUAGAUACCCCCGUAGUC
Molecule: ribosomal RNA, 464 nt
Filed under: uncultured bacterium
Lineage: Bacteria
Description: partial 16S ribosomal RNA
Rfam family: Bacterial small subunit ribosomal RNA
Source: RNAcentral